Molecule: ribosomal RNA, 254 nt
Filed under: uncultured microorganism
Description: partial 16S ribosomal RNA
Rfam family: Archaeal small subunit ribosomal RNA
Source: RNAcentral
GUGCACCAGGCGCGAAUCCUCCGCAAUACACGAAAGUGUGACGGGGCCAUCCCGAGUGCCGUCCGCUGAGGACGGCUUUUCCCCAGUGUACAUAGCUGGGGGAAUAAGGAGAGGGCAAGCCUGGUGUCAGCCGCCGCGGUAAGUACCAGCUCUCCGAGUGGUGGGGACGCUUAUUGGGCCUAAAGCAUCCGUAGCCGGCUGGGCAAGUCCUCCGUUAAAUCCAACGAUUCAAUCGUUGGGCUGCGGGGGAUACU